GCGCAAUUGGCUAGCGCGUCUGACUGUUAAUCAGGAGGUUGGUGGUUCAAGCCCACC
This 57-nucleotide transfer RNA is filed under the name Basidiobolus meristosporus CBS 931.73. It matches the Rfam family "tRNA", at positions 10 to 63 of the family's 71-position model. Rfam says of the family: Transfer RNA (tRNA) molecules are approximately 80 nucleotides in length. Their secondary structure includes four short double-helical elements and three loops (D, anti-codon, and T loops). Further hydrogen bonds mediate the characteristic L-shaped molecular structure. tRNAs have two regions of fundamental functional importance: the anti-codon, which is responsible for specific mRNA codon recognition, and the 3' end, to which the tRNAs corresponding amino acid is attached (by aminoacyl-tRNA synthetases). tRNAs cope with the degeneracy of the genetic code in two manners: having more than one tRNA (with a specific anti-codon) for a particular amino acid; and 'wobble' base-pairing, i.e. permitting non-standard base-pairing at the 3rd anti-codon position. The record is from Rfam by way of RNAcentral. Lineage: Eukaryota; Fungi; Basidiobolomycota; Basidiobolomycetes; Basidiobolales; Basidiobolaceae.